GGGCCCGUAGCUCAGCCUGGUAGAGCAGCGGCCUUUUAAGCCGNNCGAGGGUUCGAAUCCCUCCGGGCUCG
Molecule: transfer RNA, 71 nt
Filed under: Candidatus Iainarchaeum sp.
Lineage: Archaea; Nanobdellati; Candidatus Iainarchaeota; Candidatus Iainarchaeia; Candidatus Iainarchaeales; Candidatus Iainarchaeaceae
Description: tRNA-Lys
Rfam family: tRNA
About the family: Transfer RNA (tRNA) molecules are approximately 80 nucleotides in length. Their secondary structure includes four short double-helical elements and three loops (D, anti-codon, and T loops).
Source: RNAcentral